GGUAUAGAGGUUCUAAUUUAGAUUAAUAGGGAAGCUAGGUGAGAUUCCUUCGCAGCCCCCGUUACUGUGAUGCUGACUAUUUAUUCGAUAACCACUGCUAUUUUGCGGGAAGGUGAAUAAAUGGGAUGAAGCUAAGCCAGGAGACCUGCCUUAUAUACAA
This 160-nucleotide non-coding RNA is filed under the name uncultured Intestinibacter sp. Lineage: Bacteria; Bacillati; Bacillota; Clostridia; Peptostreptococcales; Peptostreptococcaceae. The record is from RNAcentral.